GGGCCCGGUUUCCGGGUAGUAACAGAGCAGCCAAUCCGCGGAGUUGCGAGAGCUGGAGGCCUUUUCCCUGCAAACACAGCUCCAAGGACACCGACUGCUCUAACCCUCACCCUUUGGAAAACAAGGAAAGCGGAGCCGACAACAAGGGUUUCUCCUUUGGAAAAACCGCCGGGGUUCCUUUUGUCAGGGGGGCAGAAAGAGCGGAGCAAAAACUCCCCAGCACCGAGAGGAAUCCCAGAUAUUUGGGGCUUUCUACCUACCCAGCUCCUAGAAACACACAGCAAAGCCACUUCGCAGGGAAAACCUGCUCUUUGUCCUCCAAAAUAUGCUGCGAUCGCUGGAGAAGCCGGCAAGGAACGGAACAAAAAGGGGGAGAAAAAAAAAAAAAAAAAAAAAAAAAAA
Long non-coding RNA from Parus major (Great Tit), 402 nucleotides. RefSeq lists it as uncharacterized. Lineage: Eukaryota; Metazoa; Chordata; Aves; Passeriformes; Paridae. The transcript is spliced from 2 exons. The record is from RefSeq and is a predicted model, not a curated record.